This 84-nucleotide microRNA precursor is filed under the name Choloepus hoffmanni (Hoffmann's two-fingered sloth). RNAcentral describes it as "miRNA (ENSCHOG00000015079.1)". The record is from RNAcentral. Lineage: Eukaryota; Metazoa; Chordata; Mammalia; Pilosa; Megalonychidae.
GUUAAAAAUGCAAAUGAUUGAGCCCUGCCUUAGACCUACUGAAACAGAACUCUGGGGAUGGAGCCCAGCAAUCUGCAUUUUAAC